CGUUUCUUUUAAAUCCGGCGACUGCGUAACAGUCGUGUGCAUAUUUUUUAGGAGAAGUAACAUGGCAUUAACUGCUGAGAAAAAAGCGGCGAUCGUUACAGAUUUCGCUCGCGCUGAA
This is a non-coding RNA of Neptuniibacter sp. Phe_28, 118 nucleotides long. NCBI's taxonomy places the organism in Bacteria, Pseudomonadati, Pseudomonadota, Gammaproteobacteria, Oceanospirillales, Oceanospirillaceae. The record is from Rfam.